RNAcentral lists this ribosomal RNA (552 nucleotides) under Dacrymyces lacrymalis. RNAcentral's name for it is "eukaryotic LSU rRNA". It matches the Rfam family "Eukaryotic large subunit ribosomal RNA", at positions 53 to 650 of the family's 3401-position model. Lineage: Eukaryota; Fungi; Basidiomycota; Dacrymycetes; Dacrymycetales; Dacrymycetaceae. The record is from RNAcentral.
GAGGAAAGAAACUAACAAGGAUUCCCCUAGUAACUGCGAGUGAAGCGGGAAAAGCUCAAAUUUAAAAUCCCUCGGGAAUUGUAAUCUAGAGAAGUGUUUUCGGUCGUUGCCUCGGACAAGUCCUUUGGAACAAGGCGUCAUAGAGGGUGAGAAUCCCGUCCUUGCCGAGCUACCAACGUCUAUGUGAUACACUCUCGAAGAGUCGAGUUGUUUGGGAAUGCAGCUCAAAAUGGGUGGUAAACUCCAUCUAAAGCUAAAUAUUGGCGAGAGACCGAUAGCGAACAAGUACCGUGAGGGAAAGAUGAAAAGCACUUUGGACAGAGAGUUAAACAGUACGUGAAAUUGUUGAAAGGGAAACGCUUGAAGUCAGUCGCGUUGCAGGGACUCAGCCGCAAGGUGCAUUUCUCGGUGACGGGUCAACAUCAGUUUCGAGCGCGGGAAAAGGGCUUGGGGAAUGUGGCAGCCUCGGCUGUGUUAUAGCCCCCUGUCGUACACCGCGCCCGGGACUGAGGACCGCUAAUAGGAUGUUGACGUAAUGGCUUUAAGCGACCC